Molecule: ribosomal RNA, 489 nt
Filed under: uncultured Acaulospora
Lineage: Eukaryota; Fungi; Glomeromycota; Glomeromycetes; Diversisporales; Acaulosporaceae
Description: SSU rRNA
Rfam family: Eukaryotic small subunit ribosomal RNA
Source: RNAcentral
AGCAGCCGCGGUAAUUCCAGCUCCAAUAGCGUAUAUUAAAGUUGUUGCAGUUAAAAAGCUCGUAGUUGAAUUUCGGGGUUCAUACGUUGGUCGGGCUUUUGGGUCUGUACUGGCGUAAUGGAUUCCUACCUUCUGAAUAACCGGCAUGCCAUUAACUUGGUGCGCCGGGGAAGCAGGACUGUUACCUUGAAAAAUUAGAGUGCUUAAAGCAGGCUAUCGCCUGAAUACAUUAGCAUGGAAUAAUGAAAUAGGACGGCAUGGUUCUAUUUUAUUGGUUUCUAGGAUCACCGUAAUGAUUAAUAGGGAUAGUUGGGGGCAUUAGUAUUCAAUUGUCAGAGGUGAAAUUCUUGGAUUUAUUGAAGACUAACUUCUGCGAAAGCAUUUGCCAAGGAUGUUUUCAUUAAUCAAGAACGAAAGUUAGGGGAUCGAAGACGAUCAGAUACCGUCGUAGUCUUAACCAUAAACUAUGCCGACUAGGGAUCGGACGAU